This 253-nucleotide ribosomal RNA is filed under the name uncultured bacterium. RNAcentral describes it as "partial 16S ribosomal RNA". It matches the Rfam family "Bacterial small subunit ribosomal RNA", at positions 524 to 776 of the family's 1533-position model. The record is from RNAcentral.
UACGUAGGGGGCAAGCGUUGUCCGGAUUCAUUGGGCGUAAAGAGCGUGUAGGCGGCCAGGUAGGUCGGUUGUGAAAACUGGAGGCUCAACCUUCAGAGGUCGACCGAAACCAUCUGGCUAGAGUCCGGGGGAGGAGAGUGGAAUUCCUGGUGUAGCGGUGAAAUGCGCAGAUAUCAGGAAGAACACCCGUGGCGAAAGCGGCUCUCUGGAACGGUACUGACGCUGAGACGCGAAAGCGUGGGGAGCGAACAGG